This 254-nucleotide ribosomal RNA is filed under the name uncultured bacterium. RNAcentral's name for it is "partial 16S ribosomal RNA". It matches the Rfam family "Bacterial small subunit ribosomal RNA", at positions 524 to 776 of the family's 1533-position model. The record is from RNAcentral.
UACGGGGGGGGCAAGCGUUGUUCGGAAUUACUGGGCGUAAAGGGCUCGUAGGCGGCCAACUAAGUCAGACGUGAAAUCCCUCGGCUUAACCGGGGAACUGCAUCUGAUACUGGAUGGCUUGAGUUCGGGAGAGGGAUGCGGAAUUCCAGGUGUAGCGGUGAAAUGCGUAGAUAAUCUGGAGGAACACCGGUGGCGAAGGCGGCAUCCUGGACCGAUAUUGACGCUGAGGAGCGAAAGCCAGGGGAGCAAACGGG